RNAcentral lists this ribosomal RNA (330 nucleotides) under Allium cepa (onion). The record is from RNAcentral. Lineage: Eukaryota; Viridiplantae; Streptophyta; Magnoliopsida; Asparagales; Amaryllidaceae.
CGGUGCAUUAAUGCUGGUAUGAUCGCACCUGUCUGAAAGUGGAUUGGUAGAUUACUAAUGCAACAGUGCGAGUGCGCAGAAUAGUUUCAAUAACGCUUAAAAAUGCAAAUUAAAUUGAAAAAAAAAUAGACAAAUAAUUUCGAAAACAAAGGAACGGAAAGAAGAUGACGUUGAGGAAUCGAAUCGAAAAUCGGACGGAAGGAAAAAAACAAAAUUAAAAGGAAAAUGGAACGAGAAGAAGCAAAACGGAGUGCAACACAAGGGCUUCCCAGGAUGUCGCCCAUCCUUACUACUCUCACCCAAGCACGCUUAACUGCGGAGUUCUGAUGG